This 28-nucleotide small RNA is filed under the name Bombyx mori (domestic silkworm). RNAcentral describes it as "ovarian small RNA-12022". Lineage: Eukaryota; Metazoa; Arthropoda; Insecta; Lepidoptera; Bombycidae. The record is from RNAcentral.
AGCAAUAUGUCGUGUCCAGUUAGGGAGC